AAUAGAUACCCCGGUAGUCCACGCCGUAAACGUUGGGCGCUAGGUGUGGGGUCCGUUCCACGGGUUCCGUGCCGCAGCUAACGCAUUAAGCGCCCCGCCUGGGGAGUACGGCCGCAAGGCUAAAACUCAAAGGAAUUGACGGGGGCCCGCACAAGCGGCGGAGCAUGCGGAUUAAUUCGAUGCAACGCGAAGAACCUUACCAAGGCUUGACAUGGGCGGUAAUCCGGUAGAGAUGUCGGGUCCGUAAGGGCCGUUCACAGGUGGUGCAUGGUUGUCGUCAGCUCGUGUCGUGAGAUGUUGGGUUAAGUCCCGCAACGAGCGCAACCCUUGUUCCAUGUUGCCAGCACUUCGGGUGGGACUCAUGGGAGACUGCCAGGGGUCAACUCGGAGGAAGGUGGGGAUGACGUCAAAUCAUCAUGCCCCUUAUGUCUUGGGCUUCACGCAUGCUACAAUGGCCAGUACAAAGGGCUGCGAGACCGUGAGGUGGAGCGAAUCCCAAAAAGCUGGUCUCAGUUCGGAUCGGGGUCUGCAACUCGA
RNAcentral lists this ribosomal RNA (537 nucleotides) under uncultured bacterium. Its description in RNAcentral is "bacterial SSU rRNA". It matches the Rfam family "Bacterial small subunit ribosomal RNA", at positions 777 to 1315 of the family's 1533-position model. The record is from RNAcentral.